Molecule: ribosomal RNA, 1261 nt
Filed under: Glutamicibacter creatinolyticus
Lineage: Bacteria; Bacillati; Actinomycetota; Actinomycetes; Micrococcales; Micrococcaceae
Description: bacterial SSU rRNA
Rfam family: Bacterial small subunit ribosomal RNA
Source: RNAcentral
AAAGAUUUAUCGGUUGGGGAUGGACUCGCGGCCUAUCAGCUUGUUGGUGAGGUAAUGGCUCACCAAGGCGACGACGGGUAGCCGGCCUGAGAGGGUGACCGGCCACACUGGGACUGAGACACGGCCCAGACUCCUACGGGAGGCAGCAGUGGGGAAUAUUGCACAAUGGGCGAAAGCCUGAUGCAGCGACGCCGCGUGAGGGAUGACGGCCUUCGGGUUGUAAACCUCUUUCAGUAGGGAAGAAGCCCCUUUUUGGGGUGACGGUACUUGCAGAAGAAGCGCCGGCUAACUACGUGCCAGCAGCCGCGGUAAUACGUAGGGCGCAAGCGUUAUCCGGAAUUAUUGGGCGUAAAGAGCUCGUAGGCGGUUUGUCGCGUCUGCCGUGAAAGUCCGAGGCUCAACCUCGGAUCUGCGGUGGGUACGGGCAGACUAGAGUGAUGUAGGGGAGACUGGAAUUCCUGGUGUAGCGGUGAAAUGCGCAGAUAUCAGGAGGAACACCGAUGGCGAAGGCAGGUCUCUGGGCAUUUACUGACGCUGAGGAGCGAAAGCAUGGGGAGCGAACAGGAUUAGAUACCCUGGUAGUCCAUGCCGUAAACGUUGGGCACUAGGUGUGGGGGACAUUCCACGUUUUCCGCGCCGUAGCUAACGCAUUAAGUGCCCCGCCUGGGGAGUACGGCCGCAAGGCUAAAACUCAAAGGAAUUGACGGGGGCCCGCACAAGCGGCGGAGCAUGCGGAUUAAUUCGAUGCAACGCGAAGAACCUUACCAAGGCUUGACAUGUUCCAGACCGGGCCAGAGAUGGUCUUUCCCCUUUUGGGGCUGGUUCACAGGUGGUGCAUGGUUGUCGUCAGCUCGUGUCGUGAGAUGUUGGGUUAAGUCCCGCAACGAGCGCAACCCUCGUUCCAUGUUGCCAGCGGGUUAUGCCGGGGACUCAUGGGAGACUGCCGGGGUCAACUCGGAGGAAGGUGGGGAUGACGUCAAAUCAUCAUGCCCCUUAUGUCUUGGGCUUCACGCAUGCUACAAUGGCCGGUACAAUGGGUUGCGAUACUGUGAGGUGGAGCUAAUCCCUAAAAGCCGGUCUCAGUUCGGAUUGGGGUCUGCAACUCGACCCCAUGAAGUCGGAGUCGCUAGUAAUCGCAGAUCAGCAACGCUGCGGUGAAUACGUUCCCGGGCCUUGUACACACCGCCCGUCAAGUCACGAAAGUUGGUAACACCCGAAGCCGAUGGCCUAACCACCUUGUGUGGGGGGAGUCGUCGAAGGG